RNAcentral lists this long non-coding RNA (4331 nucleotides) under Brachypodium distachyon (stiff brome). RNAcentral's name for it is "long non-coding RNA (BDIS_LNC002841)". The stretch from base 825 to 949 matches the Rfam family "MIR1120/MIR1122 microRNA precursor family". Lineage: Eukaryota; Viridiplantae; Streptophyta; Magnoliopsida; Poales; Poaceae. The record is from RNAcentral.
AGGGCAGUUUGGCUGCAAGGCGUUUGUUCCGGUUUCUCAAAGACCUGAUAUGACAAGCCUCCUCACUGGCCUGCAAUUGAAGCUUGGGAUGGAGGAGUCUUCUCGUGUUCAUGAGCUGCAAGACAUCAUUGACAAUCUUAGAAAAUAUCUCACAAAUAAGAGGUACUACUCAUUCACUUCUUCCUUGUGCAAAGUUAUGUUAGUUUUGAAUAACUGUGUGAUUCGUUCAACGUUCAACCUACUACUAUAUAGUCGUGCUUGUUAACUUAAUUGUAACCUUCUUGUUAGAUCAAACUUACAUCUGGGUUUCCUGUCUACAUGUAUAGAUUCAUGCAAACAGCUUAUAUAGUUAUGUACUUUAAAAAAAAGCUUAUAUAGUUAUGUGACAUAUGGUAGAAAUCAUAUGUUUUGAUGAUGUUAAUUUAUUUUUUCAAAUAUUUUCAUGAUGUUUUGAAUGGUGAAUUGGUGCACAACAUGCCCUCCUGUUCUAUCUAUGAGUAGAGUGUGGCCCAGGGCAAACUGCUGCAACAAAGAGGACGAUCCAUCAUAAGUUUAACCGUCUUAAUUAGUUUUUCCUUUUAGAACAACUCAUACAGUUUUCUUUGACUGAAAAUAUAAUACAUAUAAUUAAUUAUAAUAUAUCGUAGAAGUCAACUUAUUCGAUUUACCCAAAUAAAGAAGAUAAAAAUCCAAGUAAUGUUGCCUAAGCGAAGCAUUAUUUCUAAGCUAAAAAAAACUUCACUAUUACCGAUCUUGUUAACAUGUCACCUAUGUUGUUAAUUGGAUGUUAAAUAUCUAAAUAUAUAUGUGCCUGCUAAUUUACAGAUGUACUCCCUCCGUCCCAUAUUAACUGACGAAAUAUUACAUGUACCUAGAUGUUUUUUUAAUAUAAAUACAUUCAUAUUUGGGUAAAUUUGAGUCACUUAAUAUGGGACGGAGGGAGUAGCAGAUAUGUUUUACAUUCUUUUCAUGUGAUUUAAAGAGUUUUGAUACUUCAGUCGCAAUUUAAAAUCAUAUAGCCUAUGCUGCAAUAUUAACUUCUGCAUAUAAUACAACAGGUACCUUAUUGUAGUUGACGACCUGUGGGAUCACUCUGCAUGGAACGCAAUUAGUUGUGCCUUUCCAGAGAAUGGUACAGGGAGUAGAAUAAUAGUGACCACACGAGUAGAAGAUGUUGCUCGUGGGGCUUGUUUCAAUCACCGUGAGUGCAUUUAUAGAAUGAAGCCACUCAAAGAGGAGGAGUCAAGAAGGUUAUUCUUUAAUAGAGUAUUUGGGUCCGAAGAUGCCUGCCCACAGCAAUUUGAAGAAAUCUCGGAUGAAAUUCUGAAGAAGUGUGGUGGACUGCCACUUGCAAUCAUCACUAUAGCUAGUCUGUUAGCCAGUCAUCAAGCAGGAUCAAGAAGCGACUGGGAGAGCAUCAGGAAUUCUCUGGGUGCCAAGUUUGCCACAAAACCCACACUGGAAGAGAUGAGGAGUAUACUAAACCUUAGCUACAUGCAUAUUCCUCUUCAUCUUCGUGUAUGUUUUCUAUACCUUGGUAUGUAUCCAGAGGACCAUGAGAUCAACAGGGAUGAUCUGGUUCGGCAAUGGAUAGCAGAAGGCUUCGUCAAUCAUUUGCAUGGAUCAGAUUUGGAGGAUGUUGGUAAGAGCUAUUUCAAUGAGCUUAUCAACAGAAGCAUGAUUCAAUCUGGUUCAAUCAAGUAUGGGGAGGUUGUGUCAUGCAGGGUGCACGAUAUGAUGCUUGACUUGAUCCUAAGCAAGUGUGCAGAAGAUAAUUUUAUAUGCGUGGCAUAUAAUUCUGAAGAUGUGGCGAGAAUGCAUGGUUCGGAGUACAAGGUCCGUCGGCUGUCCUUGGGAUCUAGUUCUGGGGAUGCAACAUCAAGGGCCAUUGAUACAAGCAUGUCACAAGUCAGAUCAUUCUCCCGGUUUGGAGAGUCCAAGUAUGCACCUCCUCUCACACGGUUUAAGCAUCUCCGGAUGCUUCUCUUCAAGAUCCCAUACAAGAGGAACAUGAUCGUGGACCUCACUGCUAUCGGACAAUUGUUCCAACUGAGGUAUCUACAUGUUUCAGCAGAAUCAGGCUGCAUAGAGCUCCCUGCUGAAGUUCGAGGGCUUGUUAAUCUGGAGACACUGGAGAUAUAUGCCCGAUUGGAGGGGAGCCUCCCGUCAGAUAUCUAUCUCUUGUCUCGCUUGACCCGUCUGAUUCUUCCAUACCGUGUGAAGCUGCCUGAAAGGCUCAAGAACAUGAAAUCACUGCACACCCUGUGUUGUUCUAACACCUGGGAGAGCUCUCUGGAGGACCUCAAGGGCCUCGGCGAGCUGCCCAACAUAAGGGAGCUGUCGAUGUGCACUUACCAGCGGGACAUGGUGGACGGAGCCGUCGACGCUUUGCUCUACUCCGUUGGAAGCCUCCGGAAGCUCAGAUCCCUCAGCCUCAACUGCAGGUUCUCCGUAAAUUAUGAUGAAGCCAGGCACACGAUAACCAACCCUCCCCCAUUCAUCGAGAAGCUGAUCCUCCGAGGACGGAGGUUCAACAGGGUUCCCAGGUUCAUCGGUGAACUUCGUUUUCUCCGCAGCGUGUCUAUGCACGUCGUGCAGUUCCCGACUGAUGAGGUUCAUGUCGUUGGGAACCUGUCCUCCCUUGUCAAGCUCCGGAUCUGGGAUAUGCAUGUCCCCGAAGACGGGGCUGCUGUAAUCGGCGCAGGGCUGUUCCCCGCCCUGGAGGUUCUUGUGCUCGUCUCUGACGAUGAUGAUGUCACGGCUUGCAUGAAGUUCGAGGCAGCAGGGGUGAUGCCCAGCCUGCGACGGCUCACUCUGAGGUUAUGUCAUAGCUGGCGCGGUGCUGCACCGGUCGGCCUGGAGCACCUGUUGGCCCUCGAGCAGAUCCGUUUGGAGAUCAGCUCAUCCGUCCAUGAGCACCAUAGUCUUGCUGAGUCUACCUUCAGGAUCGCCGCAGAAGCGCACCCGAGACAUCCUUCAGUUAUGAUUAAUGUCUUGUGAUGAACCGGCCUGCUUUGUAAGUUAAAUUAAAUAGUGUCCCUCCCAGGACGGACAAGGACCCAGGGUCCAAGUCCACUUAGUUAUUUUAAGUAUCUGAGAGUCUGGGUUUGGAGAUAGAAAGGUUUCGUCCCGUAGAAGGUUUUCCCUACUGUUUUCAAAUCUUAUAUCUAUAUAUAUAUUUCAGAGUUUGUAAUUAUUUGGUCAUAUCUGAAUCUUGGCUACCUGGAUACAGUUCCUGCAUGAUCUGAAUAAUUAUUUGUAAUGUGUUCCAUCAAACACACUUAGAACCUGUUUGGGAGACUCAGUAUUUGUUGGUACAAUUUUGGUAUGAAUACUAAAACUUCACCAAUGAAUACCAAUCUUCCAAACAGCCCCUAAAGGUGUAUAACAGAUUCAGUUUCAGUUGCUGAUAUGAGCACACGCAAUUGUUUGCUAACAUAAACACCUCAGCAUACACUAGUUUACAUUUCAAAGGACUUUACGAGCUUUUAACCAAGUGAUUACGUGAACAAGAUCAUGUGGAAACUGUAUUCAGGUAGCCAAAAGAUUCAGGUACGACCAACUCUGGCAUUUUCAAUUACAGGGUGUGCUGAGCAACUAAAAAAUAAACAAAAUUCAUGCUUGGCAAAUACAAGGAAGUAAAAGAAGUAAAAAUUCAAGGCACGAUUUAAGUUACAAAGGAGGCCAACUAAAAUAAUUAUUGGAUCUAACAGAAGGAUGUCUUGGGUGCACCUGUACGGUAUUCUUGAGGGGGGGGCGUCAAAAUCAAUGAAGAGGCGAACAAUGGACUCCAAGCAUCAAGCGGUGGAGAGGGAGGCGUCGAAAUCAAUCAGGAGGUUGAUACGGUGGCGGCAAAUCCAUGGGAAAGACGGAGAUCAAAAGAGGCGGCGGCGGCGGAAAAUCCAGUGGGACUGGGAGAGGCGGAAACGAGGGCAUGCCGUGAAGCCGGCAGAUCUGCUUGCGGAGAUUGAGGCUGGCAGAGGUAGCGGUGUAUGCGGGGUUUUGCGGCGGGAGGCGGAGGCGACGCCGGUGGCCAUGGCAGAGGGCGAGGUAAGGAAAGAGAAGCAGAUCGAACCAGCCUCCCCCAUUCCUACCACGGCCCGACCUGCUCGGCUGCCAAGGCCCAAUUAAAGCCCAGAAUGGGUCCAGGUGAAGCUAAAUUGAACAAAGUUCUUCCUCUUCUGGAUCUAAACUUUUUCCCUCAAAAAAGAUAAACUGUGUAUCGAAGCCCUCGAUUCAUUAUUGUAUCCAAAAUUCCGAGAGCAUGGUGAAGCCAAAGCUGAACAAAUUUGUCGUGCUACCGACUGAUGUAAUAGAGCCGGUGCUGCAGU